AGUCAAAUCAUUAGUUUGGCAGAUUUCAAAUGAGAAAAUUGUAAAAAUACGAAAAUUAAUUGAAAAUCUAAAAAUAAUCCUUUCUUCAAAAUUACAAAGUUUCAUAUUUCACCAUGUGUAGUCCGGUAUUAGAUUUGCCAAGGUAUAAAGAACCACCACAAUACAUACCUUGUAUUCCAGUUAAGGGCCCUCCUUGUCUACCAUGUGGCAUGGAUCCAGUUACAUUGCGACGUCCACUGAUUGUGCACGAUAGCACCUUUGACUACAGACCCACCAGUUGGCCGGGAAUGGUGCUCAAUAAUCAAGACAAAAAAGUGCGAUACCAACUCAUAAAUUACGAUCGACCGGUUAAGCCGCAUUAUCCUGCAUGUUCACCGACAUAUGUAUAGGCACAAAUAUAUAAUUAAAUUAAAAAACAAAAUCAAACAAAAAUGUGCGAUCGGAUGAACGUUAUCGGCCAAUUACAAACAAUUAUGUCUGCAAUACAGGGCGGGUGUGGCGGUUGCCACGGAGGCUGUUGCCGGCCUUGCGCACCCCCUUGCUGUGGAUCGGCUGGCUCCCUCGUGACAGUUUACAGUCAAGUAGCACAUAUUCAGUGAACCGCCGCGGCUAUCGCGCUUCUGCGGAUCAAAUGCAGUACUAGCAGUAGGGCAACCGCCGCGGCCGGUGGCAGCCUUCGACAAGGCUGUCAUUGAAGUGGGCCAUCACUGAGCAGCUAGUAAUAAUUGUCCGUUUGUGAUCUGUGAAAAUUCACUUGUGCAGUUUUAUAUGAUGUUUUUGUGGCCUGUAAUCAAUAAAUAUUUUAAUCUUA
Molecule: long non-coding RNA, 811 nt
Organism: Papilio xuthus (Asian swallowtail)
Lineage: Eukaryota; Metazoa; Arthropoda; Insecta; Lepidoptera; Papilionidae
Exons: 6
Source: RefSeq, a predicted model, not a curated record